AUACAGAGGGUGCAAGCGUUAAUCGGAUUUACUGGGCGUAAAGCGCGCGUAGGUGGCUAAUUAAGUCAAAUGUGAAAUCCCCGAGCUUAACUUGGGAAUUGCAUUCGAUACUGGUUAGCUAGAGUAUGGGAGAGGAUGGUAGAAUUCCAGGUGUAGCGGUGAAAUGCGUAGAGAUCUGGAGGAAUACCGAUGGCGAAGGCAGCCAUCUGGCCUAAUACUGACACUGAGGUGCGAAAGCAUGGGGAGCAAACAGGAUUAGAUACCCUGGUAGUCCAUGCCGUAAACGAUGUCUACUAGCUGUUGGGGCCCUUGAGGCUUUAGUGGCGCAGCUAACGCGAUAAGUAGACCGCCUGGGGAGUACGGUCGCAAGACUAAAACUCAAAUGAAUUGACGGGG
This 396-nucleotide ribosomal RNA is filed under the name uncultured bacterium. RNAcentral describes it as "partial 16S ribosomal RNA". It matches the Rfam family "Bacterial small subunit ribosomal RNA", at positions 523 to 918 of the family's 1533-position model. The record is from RNAcentral.